RNAcentral lists this ribosomal RNA (451 nucleotides) under uncultured bacterium. RNAcentral describes it as "partial 16S ribosomal RNA". It matches the Rfam family "Bacterial small subunit ribosomal RNA", at positions 29 to 523 of the family's 1533-position model. The record is from RNAcentral.
AACGAACGCUGGCGGCAGGCUUAACACAUGCAAGUCUAACGCGUGUAGCAAUACACGAGUGGCGCACGGGUGAGUAACGCGUGGAUAUCUGCCUUUUGGUUCGGAAUAACCCCGGGAAACUGGGGCUAAUACCGGAUGGUUCCUUCGGGAUAAAGAUUUAUCGCCAAAGGAUGAGUCCGCGUACGAUUAGCUAGUUGGUGAGGUAAUGGCUCACCAAGGCGACGAUCGUUAGCUGGUCUGAGAGGACGAUCAGCCACACUGGGACUGAGACACGGCCCAGACUCCUACGGGAGGCAGCAGUGGGGAAUAUUGGACAAUGGGGGCAACCCUGAUCCAGCCAUGCCGCGUGAUUGAUGAAGGCCUUCGGGUUGUAAAGCUCUUUCGGCGGGGACGAUGAUGACGGUACCCGCAGAAUAAGCCCCGGCUAACUUCGUGCCAGCAGCCGCCGUAA